UACAAUCCGAGAACUAUUUCAAUGCAGC
This 28-nucleotide non-coding RNA is filed under the name Bombyx mori (domestic silkworm). The record is from RNAcentral. Lineage: Eukaryota; Metazoa; Arthropoda; Insecta; Lepidoptera; Bombycidae.